RNAcentral lists this long non-coding RNA (620 nucleotides) under Mus musculus (house mouse). Its description in RNAcentral is "predicted gene, 48867". The record is from RNAcentral. Lineage: Eukaryota; Metazoa; Chordata; Mammalia; Rodentia; Muridae.
UGGCAGAAGUGUGAAGUAGCUGAUCGUGUUGAAUCUGCAGUCAGGAUGAAGAGAGCAAUGAGUGCCAAUGUUCACCUCGCUUCCGUGCUCCCCUCACUUCCGGUAAUGAGUGUUAGUGCUCCCCUCACUUCCAGCUAUGAGUCCCAGUGCUCUGAUGGCUUCCGUGCUCCCCUCACUUCCGGUAAUGAGUGUUAGUGCUCUCCUCACUUCCGCCUUACUACGGGGUACAGGACCUGAGCCCAGGAAAGGGUGUCGUCCUCCUUCAGAGUGAAUCUUCUGACCGGAAUCAACCCAAUCUGGAUAAUCUCUCACAGUUCACUUAACACAUAUUUAUGGAGUACCUUCGACAUGAUCUACCAUCUUUGGACUGCCCCGUGCUAUUGAAGAGAGGAAGACAGGAAGUCCCAGUGCCCAAGAUUACACACAGACGGAGACUAAACGGGCAGUUAAGACCCAGUCCUGAUUGCUGAGUAGAUAUUUCCUUGGAACUGAAGCAUAUGCCCACCUCCACCCCAACUCGAACAGAGGCUUGUUAAGGAAAUAAACAAAACUUCUGAGUUUCAAGAAGCUAUGGAAAUUCACAAGAGGGGCCCUCCCUUCCCAACACCAUAUAAGGAGUG